This 1409-nucleotide ribosomal RNA is filed under the name Staphylococcus saprophyticus. RNAcentral describes it as "bacterial SSU rRNA". It matches the Rfam family "Bacterial small subunit ribosomal RNA". Lineage: Bacteria; Bacillati; Bacillota; Bacilli; Caryophanales; Staphylococcaceae. The record is from RNAcentral.
UGCAGUCGAGCGAACAGAUAAGGAGCUUGCUCCUUUGACGUUAGCGGCGGACGGGUGAGUAACACGUGGGUAACCUACCUAUAAGACUGGGAUAACUUCGGGAAACCGGAGCUAAUACCGGAUAACAUUUGGAACCGCAUGGUUCUAAAGUGAAAGAUGGUUUUGCUAUCACUUAUAGAUGGACCCGCGCCGUAUUAGCUAGUUGGUAAGGUAACGGCUUACCAAGGCAACGAUACGUAGCCGACCUGAGAGGGUGAUCGGCCACACUGGAACUGAGACACGGUCCAGACUCCUACGGGAGGCAGCAGUAGGGAAUCUUCCGCAAUGGGCGAAAGCCUGACGGAGCAACGCCGCGUGAGUGAUGAAGGGUUUCGGCUCGUAAAACUCUGUUAUUAGGGAAGAACAAAUGUGUAAGUAACUGUGCACGUCUUGACGGUACCUAAUCAGAAAGCCACGGCUAACUACGUGCCAGCAGCCGCGGUAAUACGUAGGUGGCAAGCGUUAUCCGGAAUUAUUGGGCGUAAAGCGCGCGUAGGCGGUUUCUUAAGUCUGAUGUGAAAGCCCACGGCUCAACCGUGGAGGGUCAUUGGAAACUGGGAAACUUGAGUGCAGAAGAGGAAAGUGGAAUUCCAUGUGUAGCGGUGAAAUGCGCAGAGAUAUGGAGGAACACCAGUGGCGAAGGCGACUUUCUGGUCUGUAACUGACGCUGAUGUGCGAAAGCGUGGGGAUCAAACAGGAUUAGAUACCCUGGUAGUCCACGCCGUAAACGAUGAGUGCUAAGUGUUAGGGGGUUUCCGCCCCUUAGUGCUGCAGCUAACGCAUUAAGCACUCCGCCUGGGGAGUACGACCGCAAGGUUGAAACUCAAAGGAAUUGACGGGGACCCGCACAAGCGGUGGAGCAUGUGGUUUAAUUCGAAGCAACGCGAAGAACCUUACCAAAUCUUGACAUCCUUUGAAAACUCUAGAGAUAGAGCCUUCCCCUUCGGGGGACAAAGUGACAGGUGGUGCAUGGUUGUCGUCAGCUCGUGUCGUGAGAUGUUGGGUUAAGUCCCGCAACGAGCGCAACCCUUAAGCUUAGUUGCCAUCAUUAAGUUGGGCACUCUAGGUUGACUGCCGGUGACAAACCGGAGGAAGGUGGGGAUGACGUCAAAUCAUCAUGCCCCUUAUGAUUUGGGCUACACACGUGCUACAAUGGACAAUACAAAGGGCAGCUAAACCGCGAGGUCAUGCAAAUCCCAUAAAGUUGUUCUCAGUUCGGAUUGUAGUCUGCAACUCGACUACAUGAAGCUGGAAUCGCUAGUAAUCGUAGAUCAGCAUGCUACGGUGAAUACGUUCCCGGGUCUUGUACACACCGCCCGUCACACCACGAGAGUUUGUAACACCCGAAGCCGGUGGAGUAACCAUCUAUG